GGGGCCGUAUGCUAGCCUGGUAGGCUUCCGGCAUGGGGUGCCGGCGACCCGAGUUCAAAUCUCGGCGGCCCCA
This 73-nucleotide transfer RNA is filed under the name Microcaldota archaeon. RNAcentral describes it as "tRNA-Pro". It matches the Rfam family "tRNA". Rfam says of the family: Transfer RNA (tRNA) molecules are approximately 80 nucleotides in length. Lineage: Archaea; Nanobdellati; Microcaldota. The record is from RNAcentral.